UACGUAGGGGGCGAGUGUUACCCGGAUUUACUGGGCGUAAAGGGGGCGUAGGCGGCCGUGAAAGUCCGGUGUGAAAACUCACGGCUCAACCGUGGGACUGCGCUGGAAACUACACGGCUUGAGGACGGUAGAGGGAGACGGAACUGCUGGUGUAGGGGUGAAAUCCGUAGAUAUCAGCAGGAACGCCGGUGGAGAAGUCGGUCUGCUGGGCCGUAACCGACGCUGAGGCACGAAAGCUAGGGGAGCGAACCGG
Molecule: ribosomal RNA, 253 nt
Filed under: uncultured microorganism
Description: partial 16S ribosomal RNA
Rfam family: Bacterial small subunit ribosomal RNA
Source: RNAcentral